AAUGAACGCUGGCGGCAGGCCUAACACAUGCAAGUCGAACGGGUCCUUCGGGACUAGUGGCGGACGGGUGAGUAACGCGUGGGAACGUGCCCCUUGGUACGGAAUAGCCCCGGGAAACUGGGAGUAAUACCGUAUGUGGUCGAGAGACGAAAGAUUUAUCGCCAAGGGAUCGGCCCGCGUUGGAUUAGGUAGUUGGUGGGGUAAUGGCCUACCAAGCCGACGAUCCAUAGCUGGUUUGAGAGGAUGAUCAGCCACACUGGGACUGAGACACGGCCCAGACUCCUACGGGAGGCAGCAGUGGGGAAUCUUAGACAAUGGGGGAAACCCUGAUCUAGCCAUGCCGCGUGAUCGAUGAAGGCCUUAGGGUUGUAAAGAUCUUUCAGGUGGGAAGAUAAUGACUGUACCACCAGAAGAAGCCCCGGCUAACUCCGUGCCAGCAGCCGCGGUAAAGUACAGUGU
RNAcentral lists this ribosomal RNA (459 nucleotides) under uncultured bacterium. RNAcentral's name for it is "bacterial SSU rRNA". It matches the Rfam family "Bacterial small subunit ribosomal RNA", at positions 29 to 533 of the family's 1533-position model. The record is from RNAcentral.